CUGAUGACACCUGCCAGGAGGGAAUGCAGCACAAGCACGGGAUCAGCACAAGAGCCAAGAGGAGCCACAGCUCUGGGCAGAGGAAGGUUGAAGGAGGUGCUCCCAGUCCAGGAAAACACAACAGCGAGACGGGAAAUGAUUUCUCCUGGGGGCCACCCAGCACCCUGAGGAGCUGCUGCAGGAGCUGGGCGAGGAGGAGAGAGGCCCCCCGUGCAGGAGGUGGCCCUGGUUACCUAGAGCCGUGCUCCUCUCCUCCAGCAGCUCCACCUUCACCAGCUGGUUGGCCGGAGGGGCAUCUUCAAGCCUGUCGAUCAGGGCGUUGACCAAGUCCUCGUGGUUCCCUGGAAACACCCCCAGGUGGUCCCCGGGCAGGUACUGCAGCCCCUGGUGCCCCUCGGUGUGCAGGCGCAGGAAGAUAGUCAGGCGGCUGCAGGGAAAGGAGGGAAAGGAGGGAAAGCAGGACGUGUUUUUGGGGGAGUCGCUGAGCUCUGGCCUCGAGAACUGCUGGGCGUGCUGGGCACUGGUGGCACGGCCAAGCCGCGGUGCCCCCUGAGCGUGUCCCCAAGGUCACAGCAGGGAGAGGGGACGCUGCAUCCCCCGCCUCCCCCCCGCCCCCCGCGCCGCUGACUCACCCUCGGGGGCUUUUCAAAAAGGGAAAAAAAAACCAGUUUAACCUCUUGUUUCAGCAA
This is a long non-coding RNA of Pseudopipra pipra, 689 nucleotides long. RefSeq lists it as uncharacterized. Lineage: Eukaryota; Metazoa; Chordata; Aves; Passeriformes; Pipridae. The record is from RefSeq and is a predicted model, not a curated record. The transcript is spliced from 2 exons.